Molecule: ribosomal RNA, 239 nt
Filed under: uncultured bacterium
Lineage: Bacteria
Description: partial 16S ribosomal RNA
Rfam family: Bacterial small subunit ribosomal RNA
Source: RNAcentral
GAUCCUGGCUCAGGAUGAACGCUGGCGGCAUGCCUAAUACAUGCAAGUCGAACGAGAGGAAGGAAAGCUUACUUUUCUGAAUCUAGUGGCGAACGGGUGAGUAACACGUAGGUAACCUGCCCAUGUGCCCGGGAUAACUUCUGGAAACGGAUGCUAAAACCGGAUAGGUAGCAGACAAGCAUUUGACUGCUAUUAAAGUGGCUAUGGCCAUGAACAUGGAUGGACCUGCGUUGUAUUAG